ACUCAAAUGAAUUGACGGGGACCCGCACAAGCGGUGGAGCAUGUGGUUUAAUUCGAGGCUACGCGAAGAACCUUACCCAGGCUUGAAAUGUAGUUGAUAUGCCAUGAAAGUGGUCCUUCUCGCAAGAGACAAUUACACAGGUGCUGCAUGGCUGUCGUCAGCUCGUGCUGUGAAGUGUUGGGUUAAGUCCCGCAACGAGCGCAACCUUUGUCUUUAGUUGCCAUCACGUCAUGGUGGGCACUCUAGAGAGACUGCCGGUGAUAAACUGGAGGAAGGAGGAGACGACGUCAAGUCAGUAUGGCCCUUAUGCCUGGGGCUACACACGUGCUACAAUGGCCGUUACAAAGGGGUGCUAAACCGUGAGGUGGCGCAAAUCCCAAAAAGACGGCCUCAGUUCAGAUUGGAGGCUGCAACUCGCCUCCAUGAAGUCGGAAUCGCUAGUAACGGUAGAUCAGCAUCGCUACCGUGAAUACGUUCCCGGGUCUUGUACACACCGCCCGU
RNAcentral lists this ribosomal RNA (501 nucleotides) under uncultured bacterium. RNAcentral's name for it is "partial 16S ribosomal RNA". It matches the Rfam family "Bacterial small subunit ribosomal RNA", at positions 899 to 1397 of the family's 1533-position model. The record is from RNAcentral.